UUAGGAGAAUUAUUCUUUGAACAUGAGAAAUGGGUGAUUAUAACUCUUUAGUUUAAAUAUCCUAUUAUUCCUUGUAUAAGAGAAUUAUGUCACGAGUUUUUGUUUCCCGUACCCAUUAUGCUGCAUUUCCUUUUCUUUGAUAACUUAUACCUAUGUAUAUAAUUUAAUUUUCUUUUAUUUUAUUUUCUUUUAAUUUCAUCAUUUGCAUACUCGUGACCCCUUUAAGGAAUUAUUUUGGCCUUCACAAUCAAUGCGAUUGGUAUCAAUUAAAUCCUUGAAUGGAUAUUUUGUCUCUUCCGAUAUUUUAUAAAUUUAGAUUUGCAUUCAU
RNAcentral lists this long non-coding RNA (328 nucleotides) under Coffea arabica (coffee). RNAcentral describes it as "long non-coding RNA (CARA_LNC000068)". Lineage: Eukaryota; Viridiplantae; Streptophyta; Magnoliopsida; Gentianales; Rubiaceae. The record is from RNAcentral.